CCUACGGGAGGCUGCAGUGGGGAAUAUUGGACAAUGGGGGCAACCCUGAUCCAGCCAUGCCGCGUGUGUGAAGAAGGCCCUCGGGUUGUAAAGCACUUUCAGUGAGGAAGAACGCCUGGUGGUUAAUACCCAUCAGGAAAGACAUCACUCACAGAAGAAGCACCGGCUGACUCCGUGCCAGCAGCCGCGGUAAUACGGAGGGUGCGAGCGUUAAUCGGAAUUACUGGGCGUAAAGCGCGCGUAGGUGGCUUGAUAAGCCGGUUGUGAAAGCCCCGGGCUCAACCUGGGAACGGCAUCCGGAACUGUCAAGCUAGAGUGCAGGAGAGGAAGGUAGAAUUCCCGGUGUAGCGGUGAAAUGCGUAGAGAUCGGGAGGAAUACCAGUGGCGAAGGCGGCCUUCUGGACUGACACUGACACUGAGGUGCGAAAGCGUGGGUAGCAAACAGGAUUAGAUACCCUGGUAGUC
Molecule: ribosomal RNA, 465 nt
Filed under: Vreelandella stevensii
Lineage: Bacteria; Pseudomonadati; Pseudomonadota; Gammaproteobacteria; Oceanospirillales; Halomonadaceae
Description: partial 16S ribosomal RNA
Rfam family: Bacterial small subunit ribosomal RNA
Source: RNAcentral